GCCAGACGUGGUGGUGCAUGCCUGUAAUCCCAGUGGCUCAGGAGGCUGAGGCAAGAGAAUCAUGAGUUCAAAGCCAGCCUGAGCAAUUUACUGAGGCCCAAAGCAACUCAGAGAUACCCUGUCUCUA
Molecule: small RNA, 127 nt
Filed under: Marmota monax (woodchuck)
Lineage: Eukaryota; Metazoa; Chordata; Mammalia; Rodentia; Sciuridae
Source: RNAcentral